GUCACUCCCUCCUCCCUCACUAGUCACUCCUCUAUGCUGUGCAUUUCUGCCCGCGUAAUCCCCAACAUUUUGCCCCAAAUUUCACACCCUCCUCCCUCACUCUAAUCCCCAACAUAUUUCUGAUUUCACUCGACGACGCACCGGAAACAAGGCAGCUCAUCUUCUGCCCUCACUGGACGACGCACCGGCGACGACGUACUUGGAAGUAGAACAACAAGCCAUUUGAACGUUUGACCUUUCUGAUAUCUUAGAAAUUAAAGACCGCCCUUUUUUCAAGGGUAUUCCUUCCAGGACCACCUUCUUUCAAGGGUAUUCCAACCCAUGCUUGGGAUGGGAAUUGAUCCUGGGACCUUCUAUACCGAAUGCCAUAAGACCACAAAGGAGAUGGCAGCUAAAUGAGUUGAUUAAGAAGCUAGAUCCUGUAAGUAAAUCAGUGAGUACUUUAGCAGGUACUGGUCAAGCUGGUUUCAACCCUAUAAGUAAAGCAGUGAUUGUUGAUCUACUCUAGAUAUUUACUGAUUGCUUGAGAAGCAAAAGUGAAGGUGGAUCUUGCAUAAUUGGUGCAAAAAUAUGUUUUUGAUGGUGAAGUUGCAAAAGUUGGCCUUGAUCUGAAGAAUUGAAUUGCAUUCACUUGCUUCCUUUUUGAGCAGAAACUGGUAUUUUUUUUCUUCUUACAUUUCAUUCUUAGAUUUUAUUUUGGAACAAUCUAUUAUGUUGAUCUUUUGUGUGGUUUAAUAGCCUGAAUUAUGUCGCAAAAGAGUAAAAGUUUGAUGUCCUAACAUCCAACACAACCCCGGCAGUUGCAUGAUAGUGAUUCGAAGUGUACUAUGUCGGGAUCGCCUGCUUCA
Long non-coding RNA from Ipomoea nil (Japanese morning glory), 848 nucleotides. RefSeq lists it as uncharacterized. The record is from RefSeq and is a predicted model, not a curated record. Lineage: Eukaryota; Viridiplantae; Streptophyta; Magnoliopsida; Solanales; Convolvulaceae. The transcript is spliced from 6 exons.